This 502-nucleotide ribosomal RNA is filed under the name uncultured bacterium. RNAcentral's name for it is "bacterial SSU rRNA". It matches the Rfam family "Bacterial small subunit ribosomal RNA", at positions 350 to 849 of the family's 1533-position model. The record is from RNAcentral.
AGCAGUGAGGAAUAUUGGUCAAUGGGAGAGAUCCUGAACCAGCCAAGCCGCGUGAGGGAAGACGGCCCUAUGGGUUGUAAACCUCUUUUGUCGGAGAACAAAACCCGGGACGUGUCCCGGACUGCGUGUAUCCGAAGAAAAAGCAUCGGCUAACUCCGUGCCAGCAGCCGCGGUAAUACGGAGGAUGCGAGCGUUAUCCGGAUUUAUUGGGUUUAAAGGGUGCGUAGGCGGUCCGUUAAGUCAGCGGUAAAAUUGCGGGGCUCAACCCCGUCGAGCCGUUGAAACUGGCAGACUUGAGUUGGCGAGAAGUACGCGGAAUGCGCGGUGUAGCGGUGAAAUGCAUAGAUAUCGCGCAGAACUCCGAUUGCGAAGGCAGCGUACCGGCGCCAGACUGACGCUGAGGCACGAAAGCGUGGGGAUCGAACAGGAUUAGAUACCCUGGUAGUCCACGCAGUAAACGAUGAAUGCUGGUUGUCCGGGUCGAAUGAGACCUGGGCGGCGA